RNAcentral lists this ribosomal RNA (451 nucleotides) under uncultured bacterium. RNAcentral's name for it is "bacterial SSU rRNA". It matches the Rfam family "Bacterial small subunit ribosomal RNA", at positions 329 to 793 of the family's 1533-position model. The record is from RNAcentral.
UUCCAGACUCCUACGGGAGGCAGCAGUGGGGAAUAUUGGGCAAUGGGCGCAAGCCUGACCCAGCAACGCCGCGUGAAGGAAGAAGGCUUUCGGGUUGUAAACUUCUUUUGACAGGGAAGAGCAGAAGACGGUACCUGUCGAAUAAGCCACGGCUAACUACGUGCCAGCAGCCGCGGUAAUACGUAGGUGGCAAGCGUUGUCCGGAGUGACUGGGUGUAAAGAGUUGCGUAGGUGGCAUAAUAAGUAGCUAGUGAAAUCUGGUGGCUCAACCAUUCAGACUAUUAGCUAAACUGUUAAGCUCGAGACCGUUAGGGGUAACUGGAAUUUCUAGUGUAGGGUUGAAAUCCGUAGAUAUUAGAAGGAACACCAAUAGCGUAGGCAGGUUACUGGGACGGUUCUGACACUAAGGCACGAAAGCGUAGGGAGCAAACGGGAUUAGAUACCCCAGUAU